GGGUUGUUGAUACAACCAUCACAGGAAUUGUUUAUGCAGAUAAGACACUUGCUAUAUAUCAUGUGAAUAAGGUUCUUAUUCCUUUGGAUUUUAUUAAGCCUAAAGCUAAAGCUCCAGCACCAGCUAUUGCUAAGGCACCUAAAGCUGAGAAAGAGAAUUCAUCAGCAGAUGAUGAUGAUCAGACUCAGGCACACAAGGAUAGUUCUGAUGCCAUUAGCUUGAAUAACAUGCAUGGAAU
RNAcentral lists this long non-coding RNA (238 nucleotides) under Medicago truncatula (barrel medic). RNAcentral's name for it is "long non-coding RNA (MTRU_LNC006545)". Lineage: Eukaryota; Viridiplantae; Streptophyta; Magnoliopsida; Fabales; Fabaceae. The record is from RNAcentral.